Tetranychus urticae (two-spotted spider mite) is the source of this 1388-nucleotide non-coding RNA. The record is from RefSeq and is a predicted model, not a curated record. NCBI's taxonomy places the organism in Eukaryota, Metazoa, Arthropoda, Arachnida, Trombidiformes, Tetranychidae.
UAAGCUUUACGGUUAUUUUAUGUUUUUAUACUAAUUUUUAACUAAUUAUGCUUCCAUUGUUAAUCAUCUUUUAUGUUCAUUAAUAGUUCCUGUGUUAAGUGUGAUUUGGAAAAGUUUUAUCCAAUGGAUUUCACAUUCUGAAGUUUGAGGACUUUAUUUUGAAAUUGUUCAUGGUUCUCACAAGCAUGUUGUAGUUGAAAGUCACCAAGAAGAGCUCACCAUGAAGGAAACAUGAAAAAUGUCUAACUCAAUGAAAGUAAAUGUCAUUUAUUAUCAUAAUGACGAUCAAGAUAUAACCGAUAACCAAGUUAGAUGAUGCCACCGACAUGUUCCCAAUGUUAAAAGUUAAAAGUAAUUAUCUCAAUCGUAUUCUGUUUACCUGAUUGUUAUUUUAUUACCUUAGGUCCUGACUACUUUACUAACUAGAAUCACACGGUUUAAAGCCAAAGAAAGAAAAAGAAACCUAAAGCGUUGUCAAAGUCAAGCCUUUUUUGGCAAAAAUGUAUGGCAAUUGUGGAAAUCUUAUCGGCAAAAGUAAACAACUUUGUCCAAUAAAGUCUAAACAAGAACAAUGUUCUGUUACCCGUUAGCAAAAUAAAGCUUAUCUUUAAAGCGUGGAGAAAAAUCUUGUAUCUGGUUAACGAAAUUAAACAACAAGGAAACAAGAAGCACUUCGUCUUGUUGUGACAGUCAUGUUUCAUUUUUUGACUCUUGAUUAUUCCAACACGUCUAUUUCAACCUGAUUACCAUCUGAUAAAAAGUUGCUACAUUGAAAUUUUGGUUUUACCCUUUGAUUCAAGCAAUUUGCUACGUUGUAUCCGAUUAGAUAUUGACUGAAACAAUUGUGCAAACAUAAGGAGAAGGUGAAGAGGAUUUAAUCUCGGUUGUCAACAAGAACUUGAAUCAAAAGCAAACCAGAUUAACUCUUAUUGAAUGUGAAAUCAAAAUUAUCGAUGUAACAAAUCAUUUGGUCGAUAAAGUGCGGAGGCAUGAAAAUGCAUUAGCAUUCAAACACCAAUCAUACCAAAAUUGAAUGAUUACUUAGCUGACGAUGAUCAUGAAGAUGAUACCAAACAAAGUGGAAGAGUUAAUAAUUUUCAACAUCUUCACAAUGAUUAUUAAUAGAAAUCUUGAAAAUAUUGACUUACUUUUGUCUUUUCAGUGCUAAGUCUUUUCACUUGACAAGUUCAAAAAACUAAAUUGUAAAAGUUGUUCAAAAAAAGGAAAUGAAAUGAUGUUAACCGAUGUUUUCUGACUCUACUUACUUUCUGUAUUAAUUGUUGAUGAAACAGGAAUCAGGUUAAGAAUCAUGUAACAUUGCUAAUUGAUAAUCCUGUAUUUGAAGAGGGAUUAAAUUAACGAUUUAGAAGCGAAUUAAUUAGAUUAAA